This 116-nucleotide ribosomal RNA is filed under the name Brassica rapa (field mustard). Lineage: Eukaryota; Viridiplantae; Streptophyta; Magnoliopsida; Brassicales; Brassicaceae. The record is from RNAcentral.
GAAUGUAUAUACUAAACUAAUGCACCGGAUUCCAUAAGAACUCUGCAGUUAAGCGUGAUUGGACGAGAGUAAUACUAAAAUGAGUGACUUUCCGGAAAGUCUUUGUGUUGCACCCC